AUUCGAAGUUUGGAUCUUGAGCUUGGAAUAGCUCAAAGCUCUCCUGAAUUUUCCCCAGAAUCUGGAGUAAAGAAAUUCAUCUGUAAAAUAUUGUUACUCAAGUGUUUAUAGAUGUUAUAGUUAAUGUGAACUUUGCAAAAGGAUAUUCUUUAACAGAAACAUCACAUACCAACUCUGCGAUCAACCCAGGAAUCCGAUUUCCCAAAGGGAUCUAUUCCUGUCAGAAGAUGAUUUCUGAAGAAGUCUGUUGGCUAAGAUACCCAAAUGCAAAUGUGUAAUUCCAAUUGCUAUUGUACUAAAUUUCCUUGUUUCUAUCCCCCAGUCCUGGUUUCUAAACUUCUAUCUUAGGGGCUGACUCUCCCCUUGUGACCUGUCUGCCCAUCAGGGAAAGCAGUCGCUGGACAUCCCUCACAUCUCCAAGCAGAUUCCCAGCUACCUGACCAUAACUAUUGCUUUCCUUAAAUUUUGGGUCUUCUCCUAUGUUUUAAAUCAUGCAUACUCAUUCAGCUGGACAUAUAAUCUCUGAUUCAUCUCUCUAGUUGCUUCUAGGGUAAAAGCACUCAUAGGAGUCACUCAGAUGCCAGAUGCCAGCAUAACCUCGGCAAACAUACCAGCCUGACGCUCUGGACACAGCCUACAGUCAAUACCUCUCUCUCCUAAUGGGUCUUCCUGGCCUCUAAGUUCUUAUCUGGUACCCACUGCAGCUGGGAUCUUGGCAUAUUUGUGGUUCUGAACUUCCAAGGCCAGGCAGUUUUCCUGCUCAGGCCUCCCUCACUUGCAUGCUUGCAAAAGGAAUAAUUAAAAUUGCAGAAGCCAAGAGUGUGAAGGAAAUGAAAAACCAAAAAACCAUCUAGUGAUUUUUCUUGUUUCAUUCCAGAUUAUUUUCCAAAAGGGUGACCUUCCAUUGGAACCCAUCACUCUCUUCUUUUUCGGAAAUUCUUUCAGUGGCUUCUCCCCACUUGUCCUCAAGCUCUCCUUCAGUUGUCCAGGAUUUUUCAGUCUAGGAAUUUCUAGAGCACAAAGUUUUAUUUUGACCUUGGCAGAAGGAAAGGGAAGGAAGAAAGAAGAAUAUGAUGCACCUCUCAGUUUAUACAGUUCUUUCCUCACAACAAUCUGGUAAAUGCCUGCUUCAGCUACCUUCUUGGCUGUUGGGACAAAUUGUUCUCAUCCAUCUGUUCAUCUGGACAAGGUCUUCAAAUACUUGAGGUAGUUAUGCUCACCAGUUCAUUGAUUGGUUUGCAGACUGUCAGUUACCCACAACCUGGCUUAGCCCAUCUGCCAACAUGGAUUUACUAGGAUGUGACUGCUGUGCAUGCUGCAUCUUCUUGGAGUCACCGGUGAGAGUUGGGUGAAAGGCAAACACUAAAAGGUGGCUGAGCAGCUCUGCAAGGGGGACUAGUCCUUCAAGAACACCUCAUAUUUCUCAGCAACAAGAUAUCCAGAGCUUGGUGCAUUGUAAACAGUUAAUAAAUGCUUAUUGAUUAACUGAUGGAUGUGUCA
RNAcentral lists this long non-coding RNA (1500 nucleotides) under Monodelphis domestica (gray short-tailed opossum). RNAcentral's name for it is "lncRNA (ENSMODG00000031047.2)". The record is from RNAcentral. Lineage: Eukaryota; Metazoa; Chordata; Mammalia; Didelphimorphia; Didelphidae.